This 456-nucleotide ribosomal RNA is filed under the name Triticum aestivum (bread wheat). RNAcentral's name for it is "partial small subunit ribosomal RNA". Lineage: Eukaryota; Viridiplantae; Streptophyta; Magnoliopsida; Poales; Poaceae. The record is from RNAcentral.
AUGAAGCUUCCUCCAAAUUCACACCACACACCAAACAGGGGAUUUGGACUAAAAAUCUACUUCUCAAGCCUAAUCCCUAGACAAACUCCCUUCUGUAAACUCCCAAUCCCUUUCCCUCAGGCUGCCAAACACGCUGAGAAUUCUUUCCCCAUCUCCCCCGACCCCCGUGCCGCCCCUCCUGACGACUCGAGUGGUCUUGCCGGCUUGCCCUGCGCAGACCUGGCCAUGGAGGGUUGCCGUGGUGGUCUGGCCGGUCUUGGUGGCGCAACUUCUCAUGGCGGCGACAGCGCAGGAGUGGUCUUGCCAACCAGGGAGGCAAAGCUCCUUCAUCAGCGACCGGCGCAGGAGGCGAGGGGUCCACUCCCAGCCGCCGCCAGUGCCUUGGGUGGGAGAGGCCCGCCCAGGCAGGGGGCUACCAUCCUCAGCACCAUUGUAUCUUGCCGUGUCGUGUUGUAA